AGAGUAAGUGAGGUGGUUGCAGAUUUGUAACUUGGGUGCAAAUCUGAGGAAAGUCCGGACUCCCGAAAGACCAGACUUGCUGGGUAAUGCCCAGUGUAGGCGACUGCGAGGAUAGUGCCACAGAAACAUACCGCCUUUUUCAGUAAACAGUGACCAGUAAGCAAAAAACUGAUAACUGGUAACUGAUAACUGAUAACUGAAGAAGGUAAGGGUGCAAAGGUGCGGUAAGAGCGCACCAGCAGUAUCGAGAGGUGCUGGCUCGGUAAACCCCGGUCGGGAGCAAGGUCGGAGGGACAAUGGUUGGUUUUUUUCCAGUCCCGUUGUGGUGAACCGCUAGAGGUGUCUGGUAACAGUCAUCCCAGAUAGAUAACCACCCUCGAAGUAGAGAUGCAGUUAUUCUAGAUCUUUACAAAGAGAACAGAAUCCGGCUUACGUUCUUACUCUCUCU
Molecule: RNase P RNA, 448 nt
Filed under: Pleurocapsales cyanobacterium LEGE 06147
Lineage: Bacteria; Bacillati; Cyanobacteriota; Cyanophyceae; Pleurocapsales
Description: Bacterial RNase P class A
Rfam family: Bacterial RNase P class A
About the family: Ribonuclease P (RNase P) is a ubiquitous endoribonuclease, found in archaea, bacteria and eukarya as well as chloroplasts and mitochondria.
Source: Rfam by way of RNAcentral